UACGGAGGGUGCGAGCGUUGUCCGGAGUCACUGGGCGUAAAGGGCGCGUAGGCGGCCUGGUAAGUAGGGGGUGAAAUCCUGCGGCUUAACCGCAGGGCUGCCUUCUAAACUGUCAGGCUAGAGCACGGUAGGGGCAGAGGGAAUUUCCGGUGGAGCGGUGAAAUGCGUAGAGAUCGGAAAGAACACCAACGGCGAAAGCACUCUGCUGGGCCGACACUGACACUGAGAGACGAAAGCUAGGGGAGCGAAUGGG
This 253-nucleotide ribosomal RNA is filed under the name uncultured bacterium. RNAcentral describes it as "partial 16S ribosomal RNA". It matches the Rfam family "Bacterial small subunit ribosomal RNA", at positions 524 to 776 of the family's 1533-position model. The record is from RNAcentral.